Molecule: unclassified non-coding RNA, 1988 nt
Filed under: uncultured fungus
Lineage: Eukaryota; Fungi
Description: sequence contains 18S rRNA gene, ITS1, 5.8S rRNA gene, ITS2, 28S rRNA gene
Rfam family: Eukaryotic large subunit ribosomal RNA (bases 844-1988)
Source: RNAcentral
GGAGGGAUCAUUAACACUAUUUGGCUAGCAUUGUUGAGUAUCUCGCAAGAGAGAAAACAUAAUGGUAGUUCAAAUUUUCACACACCUGUCGAACUAGGUUACUUCGGUAACCAAUCCCUCUGUUUCAAGUAUUAGGUUGUAACUGUGACGAAGUGAGCUCUCUCUGUGUUUCCCUUUCGGGGGAAGCAUGGAAACGGCAACUUUACAACUAUGACUUGAGAUGGUAAUUUUUUGGGGACACCACACUUCAGGUGUCUCGACCCCUUUAGCCUUUUUUUUUCACCACCGUAAGCCAUUCGACUGAUUUAAAGAAGCAAAUUGAAAGGUUUGUCUUCUUCAAGAUAACUAAACUAAGCACAACUCUUAGCAACGGAUAUCUUGGUUCUCGCAACGAUGAAGAACGCAGCGAAAUGCGAUAUGUAAUGCGAAUUGCAGAAUUCAGUGAAUCAUCAAAUCUUUGAACGCAAAUGGCGCUCUCGGGAUAGACCCAAGAGCACGCCUCUCUCAGUAUCGGUGAAUCUUUAUCUCUCAACUCUCUUGCUUGCCAAGGGUGUCUGAGGAAAAUGAGAGUCUUCUGAAUGAACACGCAAGUGUUCGAUUGGAAGUCUUUUGAAAUUCACUUGUAACGAGUCGCUUUCAAUCUCUCCUGGUACUUUCUCAAAUCGUUAUUGACUUGAGAAUAGCUUUCGUAGCUAUUUAUUGUAUUAGUGACGUGGAUAAAUUGAAACGUCUGCUAACUGUGGUAAAUACUUAAGUGAACUUCUAGGAAAAUGAAAACGCAUAAAUUAAUCGAACGACUGCGCUACCUCGGUGGACAGUCAAGUAGACAAAAUUUUUCUCAUUCGAUCUGAGAUGAAGCGAGACUACCCCCUGAAUUUAAGCAUAUUAUUAAGGGGAGGACAAGAAAAUAACAAUGAUCACCUUAGUAACGGCGAGUGAAGCGGUGAUAGCUCAAAUUGAAAAUCCAAGAUCUAAACAGGUCUUUGGAAUUGUAUCCUAGUCGACGUGCUAUCAGCGUGUGACUCAAGUACAAGUCCUUUGGAAAAAGGCAUCAAAGAGGGUGAGAAUCCCGUCUCUGACUUGAGCAAUACAAUUCACCGCGUACGAUGCAUGUUCAUCGAGUCGAGUUGUUUGGGAUUGCAGCUCUAAAUGGGAGGUAAGUUUCUUCUAAAGCUAAAUAUAGGCGAGAGACCGAUAGCGAACAAGUACCGUGAGGGAAAGAUGAAAAGAACUUUGAAAAGAGAGUUAAAAAGUACUUGAAAUUGCUAAGAGGGAAGCGCUAGAAACCAGUGUAUUGUACCAUUAUCAUUUUGCCUAUUGAGAAGGGAGUCGCAGCGUGUCCAGUUGGUAACUCUGGUAUCGUUGUGUAUUUUUGUAUCAGUGGGUCCUGUGAUGGUGGGAUGUCAGAAUGAGUUAGAAUUGCAGGAGAAGCUAUUGGGAAAGGUAGGGUAGUAGCAAUACUAUCUGUUAUAGUCCUGGUAGAAUACUGUGGUUUUGACUGAGGAACUUCAUGGUGCGCCACUAGGCAUGGGACGCUGUCUCUAACGAGUCACUCUUGUUCUAUGACAAUGUCAUAUUGUGAGGGUUGGUUUGUUACUGGGCGGUACUCUCAUUUGCAUCGUAUGUUGAUUCUGACUAAAUGGUUUCUAUCGACCCGUCUUGAAACACGGACCAAGGAGUCUAACAUAUAUGCAAGUAUUUGGGUGGUAAACCCUAUAAUGCGCAAUGAAAGUAAAGGCAGCUUGCUGCUGUGGUAGGAAACCUAAUGCCUCGUGCAUGGGUGGCACUAUCGACCGAUCCUCACUUGUGAGCCGAUUUGAGUAAGAGCAUAUCUGUUGGGACCCGAAAGAUGGUGAUCUAUGCCUGAACAGGGUGAAGCCAGGAGAAAUUCUGGUGGAGGCUCGUAGCGAUACUGACGUGCAAAUCGUUCGUCUGAUUUGGGUAUAGGGGCGAAAGACUAAUCGAACCAUUUAGUAGCUGGUUCCCUC